GUGGACAUACUAGCAUGGUGCACUUGAAAUUCAAGAUCACGUAGUGCAGACAAUAACCUAGCACCUGGAUGAUUGAGAUUCUCAGAUUGAACCCUAAUCAUGGCGUCAUUACCAAUAAUCUUAACAUCAAUAUCAAGUGCAAAUGCAGUUCCACCAGAAUUAGGCCCGGCUUGAUCUACAGAAGUGGUUGUGCUUUGAUUAUCUGUAUUAUCAGUCACUUCCAAUUUCGCCCUUUUGGAUUUCUCUCUUUGUAGCUGUGACUCCAAUUCAUCAAUUUUGGCCUUCAGUUCGUUUAUAUAGCACGCAGCAUCAGAUAGCAGUGAUGCUUUGUCCAUUCUGGA
RNAcentral lists this unclassified non-coding RNA (341 nucleotides) under Hevea brasiliensis (rubber tree). The record is from RNAcentral. Lineage: Eukaryota; Viridiplantae; Streptophyta; Magnoliopsida; Malpighiales; Euphorbiaceae.